GGGUUGUGAGGUUAAGCGACUAAGCGUACACGGUGGAUGCCCUGGCAGUCAGAGGCGAUGAAGGGCGUGCUAAUCUGCGAUAAGCGCCGGUAAGGUGAUAUGAACCGUUAUAACCGGCGAUACCCGAAUGGGGAAACCCAGUGUGACUCGUCACACUAUCAUUAACUGAAUCCAUAGGUUAAUGAGGCGAACCGGGGGAACUGAAACAUCUAAGUACCCCGAGGAAAAGAAAUCAACCGAGAUUCCCCCAGUAGCGGCGAGCGAACGGGGAGGAGCCCAGAGCCUGAAUCAGCAUGUGUGUUAGUGGAAGCGUCUGGAAAGGCGCGCGAUACAGGGUGACAGCCCCGUACACAAAAGCGCAUGUGCUGUGAGCUCGAUGAGUAGGGCGGGACACGUGGUAUCCUGUCUGAAUAUGGGGGGACCAUCCUCCAAGGCUAAAUACUCCUGACUGACCGAUAGUGAACCAGUACCGUGAGGGAAAGGCGAAAAGAACCCCGGCGAGGGGAGUGAAAAAGAACCUGAAACCGUGUACGUACAAGCAGUGGGAGCACCCUUUGGGUGUGACUGCGUACCUUUUGUAUAAUGGGUCAGCGACUUAUAUUCUGUAGCAAGGUUAACCGAAUAGGGGAGCCGGAGGGAAACCGAGUCUUAACCGGGCGUUAAGUUGCAGGGUAUAGACCCGAAACCCGGUGAUCUAGCCAUGGGCAGGUUGAAGGUUGGGUAACACUAACUGGAGGACCGAACCGACUAAUGUUGAAAAAUUAGCGGAUGACCUGUGGCUGGGGGUGAAAGGCCAAUCAAACCGGGAGAUAGCUGGUUCUCCCCGAAAGCUAUUUAGGUAGCGCCUCGUGAAUUCAUCUCCGGGGGUAGAGCACUGUUUCGGCUAGGGGGCCAUCCCGGCUUACCAACCCGAUGCAAACUGCGAAUACCGGAGAAUGUUAUCACGGGAGACACACGGCGGGUGCUAACGUCCGUCGUGAAGAGGGAAACAACCCAGACCGCCAGCUAAGGUCCCAAAGUCAUGGUUAAGUGGGAAACGAUGUGGGAAGGCCCAGACAGCCAGGAUGUUGGCUUAGAAGCAGCCAUCAUUUAAAGAAAGCGUAAUAGCUCACUGGUCGAGUCGGCCUGCGCGGAAGAUGUAACGGGGCUAAACCAUGCACCGAAGCUGCGGCAGCGACACUGUGUGUUGUUGGGUAGGGGAGCGUUCUGUAAGCCUGUGAAGGUGUGUCGUGAGGC
RNAcentral lists this ribosomal RNA (1236 nucleotides) under Salmonella enterica. RNAcentral describes it as "partial 23S ribosomal RNA". It matches the Rfam family "Bacterial large subunit ribosomal RNA", at positions 1 to 1269 of the family's 2925-position model. Lineage: Bacteria; Pseudomonadati; Pseudomonadota; Gammaproteobacteria; Enterobacterales; Enterobacteriaceae. The record is from RNAcentral. RNAcentral also lists the same sequence under 1 other name.